RNAcentral lists this ribosomal RNA (372 nucleotides) under uncultured organism. RNAcentral describes it as "partial 16S ribosomal RNA". It matches the Rfam family "Bacterial small subunit ribosomal RNA", at positions 526 to 896 of the family's 1533-position model. The record is from RNAcentral.
GAAGGGUGGCAAGCGUUGUUCGGAAUCACUGGGCUUAAAGCGCGCGUAGGCGGAAGUUCAAGUGUCCUGUGAAAUCCCCCGGCUCAACCGGGGAACUGCGGGGCAAACUGGAUUUCUUGAGGCAAGUAGGGGUACAUGGAACUCUUAGUGGAGCGGUGGAAUGCGUAGAUAUUAAGAGGAACGCCGAUGGUGAAGACAGUGUACUGGGCUUGUCCUGACGCUGAGGUGCGAAAGCGUGGGGAGCGAACGGGAUUAGAUACCCCGGUAGUCCACGCCGUAAACGAUGUCUACUAGGUUGUGGAGGUUCUGACACCCUCACAGUCGAAGCAAAAGUGUUAAGUAGACCGCCUGGGGAGUACGGUCGCAAGGCUA